Molecule: ribosomal RNA, 490 nt
Filed under: uncultured bacterium
Lineage: Bacteria
Description: partial 16S ribosomal RNA
Rfam family: Bacterial small subunit ribosomal RNA
Source: RNAcentral
AUUGAACGCUGGCGGCAGGCCUAACACAUGCAAGUCGAACGGUAACAGAAAGCAGCUUGCUGCUUUGCUGACGAGUGGCGGACGGGUGAGUAAUGUCUGGGAAACUGCCUGAUGGAGGGAGAUAACUACUGGAAACGGUAGCUAAUACCGCAUAACGUCGCAAGACCAAAGAGGGGGACCUUCGGGCCUCUUGCCAUCGGAUGUGCCCAGAUGGGAUUAGCUAGUAGGUGGGGUAACGGCUCACCUAGGCGACGAUCCCUAGCUGGUCUGAGAGGAUGACCAGCCACACUGGAACUGAGACACGGUCCAGACUCCUACGGGAGGCAGCAGUGGGGAAUAUUGCACAAUGGGCGCAAGCCUGAUGCAGCCAUGCCGCGUGUAUGAAGAAGGCCUUCGGGUUGUAAAGUACUUUCAGCGGGGAGGAAGGGAGUAAAGUUAAUACCUUUGCUCAUUGACGUUACCCGCAGAAGAAGCACCGGCUAACUCCGUG